GUAAACAUAAACAAACUUAGCCUUGGCC
RNAcentral lists this small RNA (28 nucleotides) under Bombyx mori (domestic silkworm). RNAcentral's name for it is "ovarian small RNA-17602". Lineage: Eukaryota; Metazoa; Arthropoda; Insecta; Lepidoptera; Bombycidae. The record is from RNAcentral.